RNAcentral lists this ribosomal RNA (139 nucleotides) under uncultured bacterium. RNAcentral describes it as "partial 16S ribosomal RNA". It matches the Rfam family "Bacterial small subunit ribosomal RNA", at positions 355 to 484 of the family's 1533-position model. The record is from RNAcentral.
UGGGGAAUUUUGGACAAUGGGGGCAACCCUGAUCCAGCCAUGCCGCGUGUGGGAAGAAGGCCUUCGGGUUGUAAACCACUUUUGUCAGGGAAGAAAUCGAAUCCCCAAUAACCACUGGGUUUGGAUGACGUACCUGAGA